UUUCGUCUUUUGCUUACUUCCUGUCAUUUUUUUUUUGUUUCUUUUCCACCACAUCUCUGCAAUUUUUUUUUCUCCUGUCAAAACCUAGCUUUUUUAUUUUUUAUUUUUUCUUCCUUUCUUUCAUCUUUUGCUCACUUCCUUUCAUUUUUUUUUUCCUUUCUUUUCCACCACAUCUCUGCAUUUUUUUUUCCCUUGUCAAAACCCAACUUUUUUUUUUCUUCCUUUAUUUCGUCUUUUUCUCACUUCCUUUCUUUCGUCUUUUGGUCACUUCCUUUCAGAUUUUAUUUUAUUUUUCCUUUCUUUUCCACCACCUCUCUGUAAUUUUUUUCCCCUGUUAAAAUCCAGUUUUUUUUUUUUUUUAUUCCUUUCUUUUGUCUUUUCCUCACUUCUUCUCUUCUCCUUCAUCAAGACAUGUUACGUCUUUUUUUUUUUUUCUUCCUUUCUUUGUCUUCUCCUCUCUUCGUUUUUAUGUUUUAUUUAUUUAUUUAUUUAUUUUUUGUUCUGAGCCAGCCAUUAAUCAAUGGAUGGAAGGUCUUAUUUGUAUGCAGAAAGCUACAAAGGCAGUGCCGAUAUGGGAAAAACUUAACUAGCAAGUUAUAAAUUUGGAAUGCAAAGGAAGGACAAGAAAAAGUUGCAGUAUGAUUUGAAGGACCUGCAAGUAUUGAAAAGUUCAGCAUUUUUUUUCUAUUAAGAAUUUAAUUUCUUAUUUGUUUAGGUUGGAUAAGAUUGUGCAGAAGUGAAAUAUUAGUUUGGAAUUCGCUCUUUUUAAUGCAAAAUAUGAAGAUAAUUUGGUCAGGCUCAAGCUAUUUUGUGGUGCCAUAGAUAGGUAGGAAGGAGCAAGUGUUUUAAGAUGGUUUAUUAUGAUAAGAAAAAUGAAAGGCAAUGUUUGAAUUGGAAGGUACCAUAUCAAAAAUAAAAGUGAUAUUCUACCCCUUUUUUUUCAUAGUGAAGAAAAGAGGAUAUCGACGAAUUCUACUUUUAACCUUAUUUUGAUUGUUUUAGGUGCUUUGUUCUCAAUUUCAAGUUGAAUUAGGAAAUCUUCAAGAUGCAGCUUUUCUUAAUGCUAUCGUAAAGGUUUACUGCACCCAUACUGUACCUAAAUAUUCUCUUCCUUGGCAAAAACAAAGACAAUAUGCAAGUACUGGCAGGCAAGUGCAUUUAUGAUUGGGGAUGGGAAACUAUUGGCAAAUGCACAUUGUGUUGAACAUGAUACACAAGUUAAGGUGAAAAGAAGGGGAGAUGAUACCAAAUACGUUACCAAGGAUUUGGUUACUGUUGUAGGAUAUCCCCUUAGAGGAGACACCAUUUCAGUAAAAAAGGUGUCGUUUCACGUAGAGAGGUGUGAUUCUUCGUACUAGCACACAAUCAUAUGAUUUAUCAAUUCUAUAAUAUGUCAUUAUCUUAUUUGGAAUUGCUACUCAUAUUCAUUUUCAUGUCUUUAAAUAAGAUUUUAUGCUAGCUAAAAACUUAAAAUAUCAAGUUUCUUAUAAAAUUUUUUCUGAUUAGGUAACAUCAUAUGCUCAUGGGUCAUCCGAUUUGUUGGGCAUUGAAAUUGAUGCAACAAUAAAUCCUGGUUCAUUUGUACCUGAAAUUUACAAUUUUACUCCUUUCUUUAUUGAUACUUCUCCAAUUUAUGUAUUUUCCUUCCAGAUGGAAGUCCUUUCUCUAUGGACUUCCAAAUGAGAUAUGGAAAGUUAAUCUACCUAUUGAAGAGGUGCCUUCUGAGCUUCCAGAACCAGCCUUAGGCAUAAAUCACGGUAGGGAUGGGAUGCAAAAGAUGGAUUGGUUGUCACUAGUUUCCGACUCAAUUGUUUAGCAAAUAUUUAUUUUAGAACAAGUUAUCCUUUUCCGGUGCUGUUUCACCUGUAAUAGUGGAAUUGAGUGUCCAAUUCAUACUGAAAACU
Molecule: long non-coding RNA, 1904 nt
Organism: Ziziphus jujuba (common jujube)
Lineage: Eukaryota; Viridiplantae; Streptophyta; Magnoliopsida; Rosales; Rhamnaceae
Exons: 5
Source: RefSeq, a predicted model, not a curated record